Molecule: ribosomal RNA, 425 nt
Filed under: uncultured rumen bacterium
Lineage: Bacteria
Description: bacterial SSU rRNA
Rfam family: Bacterial small subunit ribosomal RNA
Source: RNAcentral
GUGAGGAAUAUUGGUCAAUGGACGAGAGUCUGAACCAGCCAAGUAGCGUGCAGGAUGACGGCCCUAUGGGUUGUAAACUGCUUUUAUACAGGGAUAAAGUGACGUACGUGUACGUUUUUGUAGGUACUGUAUGAAUAAGGACCGGCUAAUUCCGUGCCAGCAGCCGCGGUAAUACGGAAGGUCCGGGCGUUAUCCGGAUUUAUUGGGUUUAAAGGGAGCGCAGGCUGAUGAUUAAGCGUGACGUGAAAUGUAGCCGCUCAACGGCUGAACUGCGUCGCGAACUGGUUAUCUUGAGUGAGUUCGAUGUUGGCGGAAUUCGUGGUGUAGCGGUGAAAUGCUUAGAUAUCACGAAGAACUCCGAUUGCGAAGGCAGCCAACAAGGCCUUUACUGACGCUAAAGCUCGAAGGUGCGGGUAUCGAACAGG